CCCCCCACAGCCCGACCCGCCCUGGGCAGAGUGUGCUCACCAGCCACACAGGCUUCCCUCCCCCAGGCCCAGGUGCACUGGGGGGCUUUAGUUACCCAGCUAACUAAAUGAAAUAGAUGAGAGGAGACGAAGGAGAGCAUUUCUGAUGAGCUUUAAUUCUGCUCCUGCAAUCUGCAUUGUGCUGUCCUUCCAUCUGCCACCCCCUUAUCUUCUCUGCACCCCUCUUCCUCCCCGCUUCCUUCGGCCCUGCCUCUGGUGACACCCACCCCCAUCCUUCAUGCAGCCCUGCUUACAGGCGUCCUGCACCCCCCACCCACGGCAGGCAGCUCCGGUUUACACACUUGCCAGUGGUGGUGGGGAUGCGUGUGGGACUGAGCUGCUCGGGGCCAAGCUCCAUGCCUUCCCACAGCGCGAGCUACCCCGGGCCAGCCACAGUGCCAGGUGAGUCAGAGACGUGGUUUAACCUCACCACAUCUCUGUGAGGUAGGUAUUAUUUUUAUUUUACAGACCAGAGGCUCCCGUCUCCACCCAAGGAAAAGCUUAAAUGAUGAGCCUGAGGUCACUCUGCUGAUGAGGGGUCACUAGGUCUCCUUCUAAAGCCCAGGCUCUCGACGCCUACCGCAGGCGGCUCACCUGUGCGGCCUGGCGCCAGCUGGGCACCGAUCACUCUGUGAUUGCAGCAGGGACGGUGGGUGGCGCCUGCUGAAAACAUGGCUUCCAUUUUCCUCUGCAAACAGUGCAAGCAGUUCCCCAAGUGAGGUUUGUUAUCAUUUCCUAGUAGGGAGGGAAAAAAGAUGCCAAAAUCCUGGUGACAUUAACAGCACUUAAGGUCCCAGGGAGGGAAAGAGUGGAGUCUGUUAGGUGAACAGAGGUGACGCGAGGGAAGGAACCUCCAGGAAGCCACAGACACUAGUGGGGACAAUGUAUCAGAAAGAGAAUAAGGCGCGGAGAGUCCAAGAAACUGUGUUCCAUUUUGGGACUUGCCUGCUGUACAGAGCACGGGUGGUGCAGGAAGGUGAGAACAUGACUGAACCGGCUAAAUCCAGCCAUCUGAGAGGCAAAAGGCAAAGAAACAAAACAAACCAGAAGUCAGGUACCAGGAAGGUGCACUGCCAGCAAGAACCCGGCCAGAGGCAGCCUGCACCCCAGGCCCCAGCCCAGGGCCCUGGAAGUCCUCAGAGAUGCCCUUACCUACGAGAAGGCUCCUGGGCUCACUGCCCGUCAGUCUCAGGCGGGAGCCAAAGUACAAAG
Molecule: long non-coding RNA, 1251 nt
Organism: Manis javanica (Malayan pangolin)
Lineage: Eukaryota; Metazoa; Chordata; Mammalia; Pholidota; Manidae
Source: RefSeq, a predicted model, not a curated record